RNA transcript from Orcinus orca (killer whale), 9114 nucleotides. RefSeq lists it as uncharacterized. The transcript is spliced from 11 exons. NCBI's taxonomy places the organism in Eukaryota, Metazoa, Chordata, Mammalia, Artiodactyla, Delphinidae. The record is from RefSeq and is a predicted model, not a curated record.
CGGAAGUGUGGGAAAGAGCUGGGUGAGGAGGAGCUUCUGGAGAAGGAGGCAGAACUGAGGAGGAGUGGGGCCGAGCUGGGGAAAAAGCCGGGCAGGCCACCUCCCGUCCAAGCCACCCUGCGACUGCUGGCCGAGUCCUGAGGGACAGUCUUUAUCUGGCCUUUUCUGAGGGCCGGUGCUGCUGUCACCUGAGUCUCCCCAGCGGCCGGGACGCCUCCUGUCUGUCCUCCUCCAGUGGGUGCCCCACAGGCCAUCGGUUCCGUGUCACACCGCACAUCUGUCCUCAUCGACCCCGGGCUGAAGACCCUGCCGAGCUCUCUCCUGUUUAAGCCCCAACACCUCCUUGGUGCCCUGGGAGGGCCUUCGGGCGGCCCCAGCUCUCCGUCCUUGUCGCCCAACACCCUGGGUGCCUGUGCUGUCCGUGCACGCUGCGCGCACGCGCUCUGCGGGUCUCUACACUUCGGCACGUGCGGUUCCCGCUCCUGGAGCCCUGGUUCCUCUUGUCCUGGCGAGCUCCUGUCCUCCUCCCAGGCACAGCUGUAACGUCCCCUUCUCCGCCCGCCGCGAGCGUCAGGAGCUCCCGUCUGGGGUUCUGGCAGCGCCCUGUGCCUUCCUGCUGCCUGCCUUCGCUGGGCUCUUCUUCCCGGGCUGGAGCUGCUCUCCAGGAGUCCCGGGAAGACAAGGACAAGCUCUUACUCGUUCCUGUAAGCCGGGCGCCUGCCACAGCUGCUGCUGAGGGGACGUUGGCUCAACAGAGCACUGCUUUCUCUUCCAGCGAGCUGGCCUCCUCUCUCCUUGCGGAAGCCUGAGGAAACAGGAAUGCCGGCCCCGAGGUGAGGAGCAGAGGGUGCCUUCGUGGAUGUGAGGCCUCGGGGCUGCGGGGCACCUGAGCGAUCAGCAGGUCCAACUCCCUCCAUGCCGGUGUCCCCUCCUCGGCUCGUCGCCCCAGGAGUGGUUGCGAGCUGCGUCCAGACACCCCAGCACCUCGUCGGGGUGGUUUCAAAUCAUGAGGGAGGGUCCCGGGAAUGGUGGGUGGGCUGCUGGCGUUGCUCCCGAAUCCCGGUUUUGAAGAACUGGAACUUGCCCAGUGAGCUAGAGGCACGUGAUCGGUGGCUGCUGGUUGGGGGACAGCUGUGACGGCGCUCCGUAAGGACUCCCUUCUCUGACCCUCCCGUGUGUGCUGAGAGGCGGGGAGCCCCAGGUCCCCCGGGGCGGGGGAGGUCCGGGGUAGUGGCUGCCAGGCCAGUUCGCUGCCGGAUGGGCGGGCGCAGGAGGAAUGGCCUGGCCGUGUUGCAGGUGGGCGUGGGACGGUGUGUGGCUGCCCCCGGGAGAGGGACCCCUCUGCAGCUCAGCCUUGAUCUUCAGUACAGCUAAGUCAGCGCCGAGCCUUCAAACCAUCUGAUUUCUGACUUCCCGGUGACGCUUUCUCCACCUGCUGCUUCCCACACCCUCCAGGAGCAAGGUCCCGGCAGGAACAGGCCUUCUCUCCCUCCUGUCUGCUCACUUGGGGGUCAGCCGGGCCUCCAGCCUGGCCGCUCCCGCCUUCCGCUGCUCGGGCUGCUGCUUCCUCCCAGCCCCUGUGACUGGGCCGCAGCCCACACCCCAGGAGGGAGUCUCCUCCCCAAGCUCCGCUUCCUCCCCCGACACGCUUCUGUCCCCGUGAGGCACCCCAUCUUCCUUCUAGGAAGUCCUCGUCGUUUGCGCCACUGCUCUUUGGGGGGCGGUGCCCCCAGGACAUCGUCUCCUCUCGGAGCCCAGGGCACCUGCUCUGAGUGCACUUCCCCUUCUGACCCCCGCCCGUGGCACCAGCAGACCUCACUGUCCCUGCGACCCAUCUGGGCACUUGCCUCGGCGGCUGCGUCCCCUUCUCGGCCCCGGUGGCCUGGGUGCCUCCAGCCCCCCACCCCAACUGCGUCUUUGAGGCCCGGAGAGGGUUCCAGUUUGCUCCUGCCGCACGUUUGGGGGUACCACCGGUGUGGGACGGGCUCGACCCAAAGUCUCAGUUUCCCUAGUGUCCUCCUUGGUAGGGCUGGUUUCCUCUCUGCAACGCCUUUUGCCCAUCUUUCCACUGAGCUGCGUGUCCUUUUUGUGCCGAGUCGUGGGAGCUCCUUUCGGGGUCCGGGUACUAGUCCCGCCCUGGUUGUUUGUGUUUCAGAUGCCUCCUCCUGCCCCUUGGGGGCUGGUUUCCUCCUCUCUUUGAAGGGCAGCUUUGGACUCGGCAUGCGCCUACACCCUCUCCGACCUGUAAGUGCCCCACACGUCAGGGCGUGUCCCGCCGGCCCACUCCCAGGCCCGCCCCCUGGGGCUGGUGGUCCCCGAGGAGCCGGUGCCCUGGCGUCCAGCGCUCUGCCCGUGAGAAAGGGCUCCUUCUUGACUGGGUAAGUCACUCGGUCAGUGCCUGGCUUUAGUCCCUGCCCUGGACUCACGCAGGGCAAGCCCCGGGGCAGCCGUGCAGCUGCAGGAAGACGGCCGGCCUUGUUUUCUCUGCCCCAGCUCCCGGUUUACCUCCUGCCGCCCCACAUCUGGCCUGUUUCUAAGACGUGCUCCCCUGCCCCCUCCUUCCCCUCUGUCCCCUGGGCAGCUCCUGUUGGCCGUGUCCCUCUCCACACGGCCCAGAUCGAGGGGUCCAGCCUGAGAACCGCAGGUGUUUCUGACUCUGUCUCAGUGACUGGCGCUGCAGGACCUCGGGAAGAAGCUGCACGCAGGGGACCUGCAGACGUGAGCAGCCGCUUGGCCGCCACUGCUCGGGUUGGCGCCUGCGCAGGGAACGUGGCGCAGCACAGGGGGCCUCCUGUGCGCUUCUGGCGAUGCCCCCACUUGCAUUCACGUUACAGACGGUUAUAUCGCCUUUGGCUGGGGGCGGGAGAUGCUCGUCUCCAGGUCUGCGGCACUCCUGAGCUCUUGGGUCUACGUGCUCUUCAGCGUCCUCAGUCUCUGGGCAACGACCCGGGCCCCAGGCCCUCCGCAGCUGGAGGGGGCCUUCCCGACAUCAGGCCGUGGCCCAGUGAAUGGGGCCAGCUUCCUUGUUUGAGAGAUUCAGGAGUGGGGCCGGGGUGCGGGGGUGGGAGUCUGGAGCGAGCGUUGCCAUCCCGUAACCGUGGUCACAGGGCUUGGAUGACAGGACUGCUGUGCUCUGUGCCUGUAGGGCCCGUUCAGCCGCCUCCUGAGUAUCCCUGUGCUCUCCGUGGCGACUUUACAAAGGACAGAGAGGAUGUGAAGAGUCAGGAGCAAGGGACGCCCAUAAGGCAUCGCCUGGAGGCAGGAAGGGUCAUCCCAGGUUCUGAAGGAUUCCUCGGCAGACAUCUCACUAAGCCCUGCGCCUGGUUCCGGAGGAUACUGGAUUGCAGCCUCUCCCUGCUGAAGACCAACUGACAAACCCUCGGGAAUGGCCCUGCGUACCUGGGACCAGUGACAGCCUCUGCUCAGAAACCCCAGCCCAGGGGUCCUCCUGAAGCGGCCGCAGAGACAGAGUUUAUCGCGUCUCCCACAUCAGGGUCAAGCUGGGCCCGGUGUCCACCAGCCUCCAGCUGUCUGGUUGUCCCGCUUCCCGGUGUUGGGUCACCCAGCGCGGAGCCCGAGGUCCCUUUGGGAGGGGCUGGGGGGUCAUUCCAGUGCCUGCUUGCCGUGGUGCUGCAGCGUCCUUCCCGCUGGGGACCCGCCACGUCCCUGGUCCGCGGUUCCACGUCUGAGAACUGGCUCGGGGGCAGAACCUGGGCGAGGGAUCGUGACUUGUUCACUGGGGCGGCUGCCCUCGGCCUCCUGCCGUCCGUCCUUGCUCUUUUGAGUGUCCGUCUUAGACUGUAUCUUGGUUGGUUGCCCAUCCAUCGAGCCCCCGGGAAGCCGUGUUGUACUGACCACCUGCCCCGCUCGGUGGGUCAGGCCUCCUGGUCAGUGGCGGCCAUCGUCAUAGCCCCUGGUUUCUGGCCGCUCAGUGGCGCCCCACGACCUCUGCUGCGGUCCCUGGGCGGCGGGGGAGGGCAGGGGCUCGUCCCUUUCCUCCCUCACCUGGCCUGGCGCGCCCGGCCUGUGUUGUGAGGUGACUUCGCUCUGCUUGGGGGCCUGGCAGUGGGCUGACCACCUCUCCCCAUUUUUCCUGCACUCUCCUGCUUGUAGCGCUUCAGGUCCCACAGCAAAUCGGGGCGGCUGGCUACCCUGUCUCCUGGGACGGAGGGCACCUGUGGGGAAGGACGCGGGUCAUGUUUGCUCCCUCGGGGGUGAGUUGGGGACGCCAGCUCUUUAGGGGGAGGGGUGUGCCGCUGCCUCAGGCUCAGAAGCUCAGAGACAUCUGGGGAGCCCCGCUCUUCUGGGGCUUCCUCCCAGUCUCCCUGGUCCUCGUGUCAAGGAUGCAGGUUUGCCCAGGUGGGCUUCCGAUGCUGGCGGGACGGGCGUGCCUUGGUUGAACAUUCAGCGUCUUUGAGGUUCAGCCACUUCUGUCGAAUCCUGGGUUGGACGAUUGUCCGCUGCCUGAGAUGGGGGCUCCUUUGUAAGGUACUGGGGAGACCCUGGGGCCCCCUUUUUUCUCACUUUGCUCUUCACCCUAAGCUGCUCAUCCCCUAUGGUCGGCAAAGCAAAGAGGUCACCUUCCCCUGUGCCCCCCGCGUUCCGCACGCUUGGAUCUUCUCGCCUGCCAGGACGUUCCUCUCCCCCUGCCAGCCCAGCGAACGUUCUAGCAUGAGAGUUCUAGCAACUGGGCUGCGGCCUUGCGGCCGGGGCUGUCCGCCCGCACACCACCCAUCCCCGGGGUGGGGUCCUCAUUGCCAGUGAGGCGGGUGAUGACAAUCCCGUACCAAGACCCCAUCUCAUCACCUGCUCCUUGGACCACUCCAGGGCCGGCCGGCUCGGGUUGCGUCCCUCGGGAAGCUGAUCCCGGGAGAGAGUUAGUGCCAAAGGCUGGCUGGGGACUCACACCCACUAAGGGGACAGGGAGCAAGCAGGGUUGGGCAGGGUGUCCCUUCAACCUGCGAUGUCGACCUGACAGUUUCUGCCAGCCCGUCGGGGAGCUGCAGAGCACGGACGGGCAUUAGAGGUCCCCGCAGUGGGCCCCCGUGGUCAGGCCCUCGCAGCGCCCGAGGCCUUGCGAUCCACAUCGACUGACCGGGAGAACCAACACCCAGAAGUGGUGCCCGAGGGGUGGCUGCGUGCGCGCACGGGGCGCCAGCUGCCUUUGCCCGGGCAGCACCUUGCUCUGCCCUGCGGCCGGCCUGGUGGGAGGUGCUUUGGCUUCUUGUGCAUCAGACGACCGCUGGGUUGGGCAGGGGACGUGCUUCCAGGGCGUUGGCUGACUGGCCAUCUGUCAGCGUCAUCGGUGUCAGCGCAGCUUGAUGGGAGAGGGCAGAUCUGGGUACCAGGCGUCAGAAGGCAAAGCCCAUUUAAGUCCGCAGACGUCCGUCCUGUGAGAGGGUCCUGGACUGUGCAGGGACACAGGUGUCCACUCGCCCUUGGGUUACUCAGGGCUGGUGGGGGAGGGGCAUCUUCCAGGCAGACCUGUAAAGCACAGAGUCUGAAACGAGGCGGAAGGAGGGCAACGUGAAGAGCGGGGAAGCCCUGACUCAGAGCCAGGGGCUGCGGAGGGCUUCAGGGAGGAGGGCCGUCUGGGCUGGGUCUUGAAGUGAGAAGGGUCUCCUUAGCUGGGAGAUGGGGGACGGGCCCCCUGGAAGGGCCAGACACGUUCAGGGGACUGAGUCCAGGUGCUUGUGGAGCCAGUUCAUGGGAGAGGAAGCUGGGAAACCAGACUGGGUUCAACUCGGAGGCCACCCUAAGGAGUCAGGCCUGUGCGCUGCGUACAGUAGAUCAAUGCCCUCACUUGCGCUUUUAAAGGCAAACCACUGUUUCUCUCCCUGAGAAGAAUUCAUCGAUUCACUCAUUUGGUUAGUCGGUGAUCUGACAAACCUCUGUGUGCCUCCCAGGCCAGGCAGCAGUUAGAGAAGAGCGGCACGCGGGUGAGUAAGGUGUCGCUCCGCGUGCAGGUGCUUGUCCUUGCCGAUCUGUACACGUGCGCCUUUCUCUGCAGGCGGCCUCCUUUUCCUGGCUUGUGAUGAGGUUUCCAAUUCUUGUUCCUGACUUCAGAAAGAAGAUUAGAGAGACGCCGGAGUUUGCCGAGAGAAGGGAACUAAAUCUAAAAGAGUGAAUCCAUCUGUCCUGAUUCUCCAACUGCCUUGCCUUCUUGUUUUGGGGAUUCAGAAUCUGGACGUCAUGGCCCAGUCACUGAAUUGGGAAUUUCUAAGUCCCUUGGAGUCCAAAAGAAAGACCAUUCUAGAUGUCAGACUGCCAUCCAGGGCUGUGCAGCAACUGAGUGAUGAGAAAAUACCCCACUAUGCGAUCCUGGCGUGCACUAAUAUUUAGGGUGAGAGAACAUGCUUAAAUCGUCUUACCAAUUUGACAGGAAUGAUUUCAAAUCUGGCACACUGUGGCCUCACUCCUCGCCAGUGUGCCCCUGGAAGAGCAAGCCAUGCUACAUGAGUCCCUGCCACUCUCCUGAAUAAGCUUCCAGGCAUUACCUACAUGUUGUGUUCCUGUGGAGGGAUGGCAGUAAUCUCAGCUAAGAUAAACCGGAGCUUCUGUGGAUAAAGCGUAAAGGCAGUGAAGUGUGUGCUGUAAGAUUUAACGCCUCUACAGUGCUUAGAUGCAAGUUGAGCUUGGAAUUCCAGAGGUAGAGCAUUGCUGAUUGGAGGCAUAUUAAGAGAAAAGUACUGUGGAAAUGAGAUAAAACCUUUAUUCUUGCUAUUGACUGUUGUCUUCGUAUGUGUACAGAUUCACAAGAGGAUCUUAUUCACAUCUUUAUUGUGAGAAUUUGGUGGAUUUCCUGAAAUUUGGGGGGUGCCCCUGUGCCUUCAGUCCUCAGAAGUUUCUCACUCUUACAGUAGUCCACAUUCUUCCUCCAGCAAUUUGUAAAAAUUACCAGUUUUGGUGUUCCUACCAGUUUAUAUUCCAGAGCCUUCUUUUCCAGUAGCUUUACAGUGGAGAAAACUGGAAGAAAUCUCCUUAACCAAGUCAUCAAGGCUGACAUCACCAGUAUGUCAUAUUGAUACCAUGUACUUCCUGAUACUAUGUGAUGAGAAAGGUACUUCACUUCUGUGCUAUCCUUUCCCAAGAUACAUAAUCCCAAUUUAAUCAUGAGAAAACAUCAGACAAACCCAAACUGGGGGACAUUCUACAAAGUACGUGACGAUCUUUAAAAUUGUGAAGGUCGUGAAACACAAGGAAACAUUGAGAAAUUGCCAUAAAUUGGAGGCAACUAGGAAGAUAGCAUGACUAAAUGCAGCAUAAUAUUCUGGAUUCAAUCCUGGAACAGAAAAAGGACAUUAGUGGAAAGAUUUGUGAGGCACAUUAUACAAAAUAACUGCUCAGUGCUCUUCAAGAUCAUGAAAGAUGUGGAAGGACUGAUAAACUGUCAUACAUUGGAGGAAACUAAAGAGAUAUGACAACUAAAUGCAACAUGGUAUCCUGAAUUUGAUCCUGGAACAGAAAGUGGACAUUACUGGAAAAAUUAGUGAAAUCCAAAUAAAAUCUAUAGUUUAGUUAAUAGUAUUGUACCUAGGUUAAUUUCUUAGUUUUGAUAACUGCACUAUGGUUAUGUAAAAUUUUGAUGUGAGAAAUGCUAAAUGAAAUGUGUGUGGCAGCUGUCUGUGCUGUUUUUACAACUUUUCUGUAAUUUUAAAAUUAUUUCAAGAUCAACUUAAAAGCUAACACCCCCCCUCUCCCCCAGAGAUUCUAAUGUGUAGUCAGGGCUGAGAACUGCUGCUAUCUCAUCCAUUAGGUCCUGCCUCAUGGGUUUCCACUGUGUUCUCCUACUCUCCUCCAUCAAAAUUGCCCUGCUCUGGAGGGAUUUGUUCUCAACUGGCUGCUGGUCUAAAUAGAAUGAGGGAAAAAUAUUUCUACCACUAUCCCAGUGGGAAACUCAUUUCAAAGUUACUAGUAUGGGUACUAUCCCAUCUGCUCUAGCCAGGUGCCAUUGUAUAGUAAGAAUUUCCACCUGAGAGAUUCAUUCCUUUGUGUAAAGCAUCAUUACAUCAUCAUUUUUCAAGCAGCGCUUAUGGAUACUGGAACAUAAAUUCAAUAAGAAUUAUGAGUCAUGUGAAUUGGUAUAUCAGGGCAUUUUCUACAACACCACAAAACACUGGGCAUCUGUGGAGGAGAGAGCUAAAUUUGUCUAGAGUUCGCCACAAUCCAUUUUAACUCUCUAAACAGAGAAGGCCAGUCCUUGGUGGGAGGCAGGAGGCUGGCACUGUGGGUAGUUAGAGCCAGGUAAUUCAAGACAGCACUCAGAGCGUGAUUCUCAGGUCUUAGAGAACUGCCUAAGGUAGAGAGAUGGUUGACAUCUUGGAUAGCGAACUCCUGUUGCUAUGACAGCUUCCGGGAGCACACUUGUCUCAUCGGAGUCUGGGGCUUAUUCAGUUGGCUCCGCCCUCUCCUGGAGUGCUCUGUUUCUUAAAAGGGACUUGCCCUUUAUUUUGCUAGGAUUAGUCAUUAUGGGUUGGUGAAUUGCCCUUUCCCCGCCUCCACCCCAGCUUUUCAUCUGCACCCUAGAAGGGAGGCUUGUGUCUUUGGGCCUGCUGAGAGUCCUCCAAGAGAGCUGAGCUGAGAGAAAAUUAAGAACAGCUGGGCGUAGACACAAUGACAUCAUGUGCCUCUAGCAUAAAAAGCAGCUCACAAACUCUGAUUCAAGGAGAGAAAAAUAAUGGGAACUGGAGAAAGGGGCUGAGACUUGGGAACUAUGCAAAGGCUGAUUACCGGGGAAGACAAGAGAGAUUAAGCUGGGAGCACAAGAGCUAGCUGAGCUAUUGGAACUCUUAGUAAGGACCUAUUAAUCUAGUAUUUAGCACUUGGAGUCUAUAGAUUUAGCAGCUAAAACUAAAUGGGAACAGAUUGGUGAAAGCUGUGAAAAUGCCCUGAGGUAGUCUAUAGCUAGGAGUAAGAUUAAUAAAGGAAAUGGUUAGAAACUGAGCUUUAUUGCAGAGUAACUUGCAAAUUGGACUCUUUGCAUAUACUUUCCUCUUUUCUCAAUUAUUCUAUAGGAAGUUGCAUGGUUUACACAUAAAAGUAAAUUUAUUGGUGUGCAUGUAUCUUUUCAAAUUAGUGUUUUUGUUUUGUUGGAAUAAAUACCCAGGAGUGGAA